This 253-nucleotide ribosomal RNA is filed under the name uncultured bacterium. RNAcentral describes it as "partial 16S ribosomal RNA". It matches the Rfam family "Bacterial small subunit ribosomal RNA", at positions 524 to 776 of the family's 1533-position model. The record is from RNAcentral.
UACGUAGGGGGCAAGCGUUAUCCGGAUUUACUGGGUGUAAAGGGAGCGUAGACGGCUGUGCAAGUCUGAAGUGAAAGCCCGCGGCUCAACCGGGGGACUGCUUUGGAAACUGUAAAGCUGGAGUGCAGGAGGGGUGGGCGGAAUUCCUAGUGUAGCGGUGAAAUGCGUAGAUAUUAGGAGGAACACCGGCGGCGAAGGCGGCCCACUGGACUGUAACUGACGUUGAGGCUCGAAAGCGUGGGGAGCAAACAGG